RNAcentral lists this unclassified non-coding RNA (299 nucleotides) under air metagenome. Its description in RNAcentral is "partial contains small subunit ribosomal RNA, internal transcribed spacer 1, and 5.8S ribosomal RNA". The stretch from base 1 to 46 matches the Rfam family "Eukaryotic small subunit ribosomal RNA", at positions 1786 to 1831 of the family's 1831-position model. The record is from RNAcentral.
AAGUCGUAACAAGGUUUCCGUAGGUGAACCUGCGGAAGGAUCAUUAUUGAAAAGUUUUGGGGGUAUUGUCGCUGGCCUUUAACAAGGCAUGUGCACGUAUCUCUAAUCUAUUCAUCCACCUGUGCACUUUUUGUAGGAGUUUUUUCAGAUUGGCUUGCGGGUCUUCUAGACCUUGUAUAGUUGAUUUGCGAGACUUCUAUGUCUUUAUAAACCAGUUAAGCAUGUUUAGAAUGUGUUGUAUUGGGACUUAAUUGACCCAUUAAACUAUACAACUUUCAGCAACGGAUCUCUUGGCUCUC